UUAAGUUCAGCGGGUAUCCCUACCUUAUCCGAGGUCAACCUAAGAUGUACGCGAAGCACGUGUUUGACAGCUACCCGAGGCCGGCUCCCCCAGCGAGUGAAUUUCUACUACGCUAGAAGCCGUUCGCUCGGCCACCGAUGACUUUGAGGCCCGCCCGUGUGGGGACGGAGGCCCAAUACCAAGCAGAGCUUGACGGUUGU
RNAcentral lists this unclassified non-coding RNA (200 nucleotides) under Didymosphaeria sp. Its description in RNAcentral is "partial internal transcribed spacer 2". Lineage: Eukaryota; Fungi; Ascomycota; Dothideomycetes; Pleosporales; Didymosphaeriaceae. The record is from RNAcentral.